GGGUACUUAGGUUAAGCAAACUAGAAGCCUUCAAAGCUUCAAACAGGGGCUCAACUCCCCUAGUCCCCG
RNAcentral lists this transfer RNA (69 nucleotides) under Oreolalax rhodostigmatus (red-spotted toothed toad). Its description in RNAcentral is "tRNA-Trp". It matches the Rfam family "tRNA". From Rfam's summary of the family: Transfer RNA (tRNA) molecules are approximately 80 nucleotides in length. Their secondary structure includes four short double-helical elements and three loops (D, anti-codon, and T loops). Lineage: Eukaryota; Metazoa; Chordata; Amphibia; Anura; Megophryidae. The record is from RNAcentral.